UCAAAAACAUGUCCUAUUGAAUAUAAUUUUAGGUUUGACCUGCCCCCUGAAUUUUAAAUGGCCGCGGUAUUUUGACCGUGCUAAGGUAGCAUAAUAAUUAGUUUCUUAAUUAGAAGCUGGUAUGAAUGGUUUUAUGAAAAAGUAACUGUCUCUAUUUAAUUUUAAUUGAAUUUUAUUUUUGAGUAAAAAAGCUUAAAUAAUUUUGAAAGACGAGAAGACCCUAUAGAGUUUUAUAAUAAAAUAUUUUAUAAUUUUUUAGAAUUUUAAAUUUUUAAAUUAUAUUUUUUAUUUAAUUGGGGUGAUUGAAAAAUUUAAUGAACUUUUUUUAUUUAUUUUACAUUAAUUUAUGAAAUAUUGAUCCAUUUUUUAUGAUUAAAAGAUUAAAUUACCUUAGGGAUAACAGCGUAAUUUUUUCAAAGAGUUCUUAUCGAAGAAAAGGAUUGCGACCUCGAUGUUGGAUUAAAAAUAAUUUUUGGUGUAGAAGCUAAAUAAAUUAGGUCUGUUCGACCUUUAAAAUUUUACAUGAUCUGA
RNAcentral lists this ribosomal RNA (531 nucleotides) under Bruchidius nigricornis. RNAcentral's name for it is "partial 16S ribosomal RNA". It matches the Rfam family "Bacterial large subunit ribosomal RNA", at positions 1807 to 2608 of the family's 2925-position model. The record is from RNAcentral. Lineage: Eukaryota; Metazoa; Arthropoda; Insecta; Coleoptera; Chrysomelidae.